Molecule: ribosomal RNA, 426 nt
Filed under: Triticum aestivum (bread wheat)
Lineage: Eukaryota; Viridiplantae; Streptophyta; Magnoliopsida; Poales; Poaceae
Description: partial small subunit ribosomal RNA
Source: RNAcentral
AUGUGUUCCUUUUGCCGACAAGUUGAAACUUCUCAAUAUUUGUUCUUUGACUGCCAUUUUGCCAAGGUCGUUUGGCGAUCAAUUGGGGUUACCCUUGGGACUGACUUAUGCCCUUGUAACUACUGGAAGUUUUUUGUUUGGUGCUACUCUUUCCUACCUGGGUAUGAUCCAUUCUAUACCGUGGCCUUGGGCACUGUUACCUGGUCCAUGUGGUUGGCCUAGAAUAGAGCUACUUUUGAGAAGAAAAUGAUCAAAUCUCCUUUUGAGGUCGUUUUUACGGCAGUUUCUUUUCUCUUGUAUUGGGCAGGCCUACAAGCUGGAGAUGACAUCAAGCAACUUCGAGCUGGUGCAGAGCUGAUUCGCAAUGGAAUUUUGAUGCUGAUGAGGGCCUGUGAUGUAUCAACCAAGAUUGGAGAAAUGAAGUAG